This 227-nucleotide ribosomal RNA is filed under the name Haloquadratum walsbyi J07HQW2. RNAcentral's name for it is "partial 23S ribosomal RNA". It matches the Rfam family "Archaeal large subunit ribosomal RNA", at positions 13 to 253 of the family's 2987-position model. The record is from RNAcentral. Lineage: Archaea; Methanobacteriati; Methanobacteriota; Halobacteria; Halobacteriales; Haloferacaceae.
CUGUACUGGCUGGUGAAUGGCUCGGCUCGAGAGCCGAUGACGGACGUGCCAAGCUGCGAUAAGCCUGAGGGAGCCGCACGGAGGCCAAGAACUCAGAUCUCCGAAUGGGAAUCCCCACUGCAAUUGCAUCUCGCAAUAGGGACGCCCCGAAUUGAAACAUCUUAGUAGGGCAGAACAGAAAGCACCGCGAUAUCGUUAGUAACCGCGAGUGACACGACCUAGUCCAA